GAUGAACGCUGGCGGCGUGCUUAACACAUGCAAGUCGAACGAAGCACUGAAAGCAGAUUACUUUGGUUUGAAGCUUUCUUUGACUGAGUGGCGGACGGGUGAGUAACGCGUGGGUAACCUGCCUCAUACAGGGGGAUAACAGUUAGAAAUGACUGCUAAUACCGCAUAAGCGCACAGGACCGCAUGGUCCGGUGUGAAAAACUCCGGUGGUAUGAGAUGGACCCGCGUCUGAUUAGCUGGUUGGUGAGGUAACGGCCCACCAAGGCGACGAUCAGUAGCCGGCCUGAGAGGGUGAACGGCCACAUUGGGACUGAGACACGGCCCAA
RNAcentral lists this ribosomal RNA (326 nucleotides) under uncultured bacterium. RNAcentral's name for it is "bacterial SSU rRNA". It matches the Rfam family "Bacterial small subunit ribosomal RNA", at positions 28 to 334 of the family's 1533-position model. The record is from RNAcentral.